This 2433-nucleotide long non-coding RNA is filed under the name Mus musculus (house mouse). Its description in RNAcentral is "long non-coding RNA chr3:131121165-131123598". The record is from RNAcentral. Lineage: Eukaryota; Metazoa; Chordata; Mammalia; Rodentia; Muridae.
UCUACUUGCUAAGCCAUCUCACGCUGGUCCUAUUGUGAUUAUUUUUUUUUAAGAAAUGAAAUCACAAUAUAGGAAUCAUAGUUUUCCUUAUAACCCUGCAAAUCAUUUUAAAGAUGUAAAUAAUCCAAUAUGUAAAAUUUGGGAGCCCAAAGCUAAAAAAAAAAAGUGAGUUAAUGCCCAACAGCAAACGCUUGAAGAAAUGAAUAGGGGUGGAGAACCAGGGCUCUGAAUCAGAGGCUGUGCAGCAAGUGGGGACCACUAACUCAGCCUCUGGCAAGUCAGCCGUGUGUGUUUCUAACCAUCAGCCAAUGAUAGGGGAAGAGCGUGCAGUCCAAAGACGACAUUGAAGUGCAGUGUCCAUUCUGGCUAAGCCCACUGGAAUCCUGAACUUGCUGUGUGUAUCAUCCCAAAGCCCCACAGGCAAUGAUAGUCUCCGUGGGAAGCUCUCUGGGGCACCAGGAAGCAGGAGGAAUCUGCGCUGCCUCUCCCACUUCCUGUCAGAGGUAGGGAAGAUGCACCACAGAAAGUCUAAAGGUAGACAUUUUCAAUUUUGGGGGGACUGUCUACAGGCAAUGAGUCUCUCGAAGUUCUGGUCAUUGACUGGGACUUCUACCCACCAGUGAUCCUCUACGGCACCUGGUGACAGUUUUGCAGAAAUCACAUUUUGAUCUCCAUCAUUAAGUAAUUACUGAGAUGAUAUAAAGUUUGGUUCAGUAGAGAUGAUUAGCCAGGCCUGGAGGCAAAGGCCUGUGGUCCAAGUUACUCAAGGGGUUGAGGCAGGAAACUUGCAAGUUUCUCAGGACAGCCUGGAAAAAAAAAUCUGUAAGAUCCUGUCUCAAAAAAAAAGAAGGGAAAGGAGGGCUGGGAGUGGCCCAUGCUAGAUGCUUGUCCAGUAUGCACGAGACCCUGGGCUCAGUACCCAGGAUGGCAAUAUGAGCGAAUGGAGGAGGUUGUUGCUACGCAACCCUGAGAAAGCUAGAAUGGAGAAGCUGAUGUGGGGAGGCUCUGUGAUGUGAAGAGAGGGAUGCCUCUAGGGAUGCCCUACUUGGGAAAAAAAUGGCUGUCAGCCUCUGAACCAAACAAAAGACGUUAAAUCUGAUCUGAUUUUUAGUUUUUAAACUUAAAAAAAAAAUUUUUUUAUUACAUGUAGGUGUGUGUGUCUGCAUGCAGGUGUGCACACAUGAGACGAGAGGCAUCAGGUCCCCUGCAACUGUAGUCACAGAUGCUUUUGAGCCACCUGAUCUAUAGGUGCUAGGGACAGAACUUGGGUCCUCUGGAACAGCCAUCUCUCCAUCCUCUAAUCUGCUAAGCUUUGUCAUAAACACUGUCAGCCAUGAUGGUAGUUGAUCAUGAGUUGGUCAUGAGUUCAUCUGGGACUGAGAUAGUGACAUCAGCCUUGACCAGAAGAGAUGCUCCCAGUCAGCUUGCCUAAUCAAUAAAUUGCCAACAGGGCCUGUAUACAUCCUUCUCUCUACUUUUAUACUUCUCGUACGCUCGUUUUCUAUCAAACCAAGUUUCUUAUGAAAUGUAGUCUCUGAAAGUAUCUGCCAAGUAACCCUGCCUUGUAUGUCGUAUUUUCUUUAUUCUCUUAUUUGUUGUUAGGCGCCAUUAGACCGGCCGCUGUGCUCAAUGAAAGUCCGUAUCUCGUAGAAGGUUCUGUUUCAAGUAAUGCCUGAAACCAGCUCAUGGGAAGAAUAGAAAGGAUGGGACCGGAGCCUCAGGAGGAAGAUUCUUGUCUCUGGAUCCUUGAAACCUAGGGCAAAUGCAGAGGAUAGAAACGUGCUGGGGGUUUUUUUUUUCUCCCUCAAAGAAUACUUGAGAUGAAAAUACAGCUGUAUAAAAACAAAAACCAUCCAAGACACCCAGAACCGAAGUGCCUUCUCGAAUCAUGUCACUCAUGCUUUGCCGAUUACUCUAAACCCAGCUAGACAGCUUCUCACUAACAGUCAGGGCAUCUUUAGAUAUUAGAAAUGUUGUAAUCUUUGUGAUACGUCUCUUUGUGGUGUUUUUUUUCCGGCUCCCUUUCUUUCUCUCCUGGAUGUAGGGAGAGCCCCCUUCUCUCCUUAACACCCCUCUCCCCUCUAAGGAAAUGAGAUGUUGCAAGGGAAUAGGCGUCCAGAUUCUUGCUGACGUCUCUUAUCCUUUCAACAUUUGAUAGGGAGUUAUCAAAUAACCUGUACUUCCUUGCACAGCAUAGGGAGAGCGUAUAUUUUGAGUUAGAAGGGGUUUCCCCCUUAACCCUUUAGAUUCUGGAUUUCUUUCCCCUGUCGCAGGGGAAAUUACGUGGAGAGGAACUUGAGACCAUGAGAAUGUGAGGACAAGGGCCAGGCUACAUUUUUCUCAUUACGUUUUCUUCUGGCUUGCAUCUUUCUAGCUCUCUUGGUACCAAAAACAAGAUCAAGCUGAAGGGACAGGUUAGCUGGGUAUAGAGGG